This 1143-nucleotide long non-coding RNA is filed under the name Salmo salar (Atlantic salmon). RNAcentral's name for it is "lncRNA (ENSSSAG00000099377.1)". Lineage: Eukaryota; Metazoa; Chordata; Actinopteri; Salmoniformes; Salmonidae. The record is from RNAcentral.
CAAUACUAUGUAUCUGUAAUAAAAAUAAAAAAUAAACUGUCACGACAUCGUGAUAUGAAUAAUCAAAAGAUUUAAAUGAAUAGAAUUAACUAAUUCACUAAUUAACUAAUGGGUCGCGCCUACUCCGCAACCCACAGCAACGCAGUCUUCUAUGGACCAGUUUAUGCCAAAGUCUGUCUGUAGCAAAACAAGGCCAAAUUGAAAUUGCAUUGGCUAAAAUGAUUGCCACCGAUUUCCAGCCAUUUUCGAUCGUGGAGGACAGAGGUUUUAGAAAUUAUAUCAAUAGUCUAAAUCCAAUGUACACAAUUCCAAGCAGGAAAACCCUUUCAAAAUCACUUAUUCCACAACUGUAUGAGAGCACACAGGCUUCAGUGCGGGAAGGAGUCCAAAAAGCUAGUGCAGUUUGCCUUACCACUGACUGCUGGACAUCAAGGGUAACAGCUUCUUACAUGUCGGUUACAUGUCACUUCAUUGAAGAUUUUUCGAUGUCUAGCUGACUUCUGGACUGCUUUGAGUUCAGCGACAGACACACCUCAGAGAACUUGGCAGAGGAACUGUUGAGAGUGGCCAGAGAAUGGCAAAUAGAUGGGAAAGUGGUCUGUUGUGUUAGUGACAAUGCAGCUAACAUAACCAAAGUCAUUAAAAUUUUAACAUGGACCCAUCAUCCAUGUCUUGCCCACACAAUCAUCUUGAUUGUAAGAGAUGCUCUGAAGGUGAUGAAGCCCACUGUGGACAAAGUGAAAGCAGCUGUGGAAUACUUCCACAGGAGCACAGUAGGUGCUGAAAAACUUAAGUCUACAGAAUGCCAGAUGGGGACGCCUGAGUUGAGGCCUAAACAAAACUGCACUACAAGGUGGAAUUCAACAUUUUAUAUGUUGAAGCGGUUUCUUGAGUCAAAGGAUGCCAUCAUCUCUACCCUGGCCAUUGGCAAUGCACCUGUUGAAUGUCUGACCCAAGAGGAAUGGGAGGUGGUGGAGGAGGUGUGCAGAGUCCUGGAACCCUUUGAGCAGGUCACUGUGAAGAUCACUGGAGAGAGCUAUGUGACAGCCUCAAAAAUGAUACUCCUGUGUAAGGGUCUGCAGCGAAUCACAGCCAGCCGCCAGAGAGAAGCAAAUGUAACCACAGGACAUGUGACAGAGUUGA